This is a long non-coding RNA of Aedes aegypti (yellow fever mosquito), 769 nucleotides long. RefSeq lists it as uncharacterized. The record is from RefSeq and is a predicted model, not a curated record. The transcript has 2 exons. Lineage: Eukaryota; Metazoa; Arthropoda; Insecta; Diptera; Culicidae.
CACUUUACAUUUACUGAUUCUUUAUGAGAUUUCACUUGUAUCAGUAAUAUGAAUCAAAACUAUUGGUCGGUAAUGAUACCACUCUUGCAUGCACGUCAAUAAAAAGUAUAACUAUAGUGGUUGGAAACAAGUUUGUAGUAAUUUUACAACCAUUUCAAUAAAAAGCAAUUGUGAUCUCAACAAGUUGUUUGAUUGAAUUUGUUUUUGAUUUGUUCUAGUUCUGGUAGGUUCGAGUAGUGACGAUAAACCUUUCGACUUCGACAAAAGUUCAACGGUCGAUAUCAUUGUUUGCGCUAACAGGAAGGCCCUUGCGCUUACCAGCAGCAAUUUAAUUCUACUUAGUAUGGUCAGGACAAUUACCAACAAAGGCAUCGAACGGAUUUAAAAAAUAGUUGCCACUUGUGUUCGUUUUUCAGUGAUACUCGCAUGAUGAAACGAUUCGAGCGAAGGGUAUUUUUCCUCGUCACCAUGAUGAUGUGUCACUUCAGUCAACUUAGAAACGCAGGCGUGUUGGGACAUUUUAGCUCUAGGCGAUACGGAAGAAGUUCAAUGCGAUCAUCCGCUCUAAAACAAACACUUUGCAGUUGGUAUAAAUUGCCAACGGUUAUUAACACGGUGCAAUAUUAUGGACAAACGAACAGAGGUUUCAGUUACGGUGGUUCAGGACACUACAAUACUCGCUGGUGGGAAGCGUAUAACCAGGAUUUUGGCGACGAUGAUUAUUACGACUACUACUACAAUUACGAAUACGAUGGUCCCUCGGAGGAGA